CCUGGGCCCUCCUGCUCCUUGCAGCCACGCUCCUGGGCAACCCAGCCCCUGCCUCCGCAUCUGUGUGGUGAAGGCCAUUGGCCCUCAUCGGUGGGUCUGCGUUUCCUCGGGCCUACACUGUCUAGGAUUGUGCAGGGCUGGUGAGAGAAUGAGACCUCUUCCGUGUUCAAGGCAGACUUCCUGCCCCCUGCACCCUGCUCUCUCCCAGGCCUUGGGGUCUGGUCUUCUCUCGUCUGAGCCCUGAGUACUAUGACCUGGCAACAGCCCACCUGUGUGACGAGGAGAAAUCCUGCCCGUGCCUGGCCCAGGAGGGCCCCCAGGGUGACCUGUUGACCAAAACACAGGAGCUGAGCUAUGACUGCAGAACCUGUCUGAGCAUAGUCCAAACACUGAAGGCUAUGGUGAAUCAGCCCACCCAGCAUCCUGGCACUGCAGGCUCACACUUAGCCCUGGAUACCCAGAUUCAUCCUCCUCCCCUGGGAUGGCAUAGAAGAGACUUUAAAAUCAAAUGAGCCAAGAUUCCAAGCUCUGAC
This 533-nucleotide small RNA is filed under the name Pongo abelii (Sumatran orangutan). Its description in RNAcentral is "processed transcript". Lineage: Eukaryota; Metazoa; Chordata; Mammalia; Primates; Hominidae. The record is from RNAcentral.